RNAcentral lists this ribosomal RNA (450 nucleotides) under uncultured bacterium. Its description in RNAcentral is "partial 16S ribosomal RNA". It matches the Rfam family "Bacterial small subunit ribosomal RNA", at positions 354 to 796 of the family's 1533-position model. The record is from RNAcentral.
GUGGGGAAUAUUGGACAAUGGGCGAAAGCCUGAUCCAGCCAUGCCGCGUGUGUGAAGAAGGUCUUCGGAUUGUAAAGCACUUUAAGUUGGUAGGAAGGGCAGUAAGUUAAUACCUUGCUGUUUUGACGUUACCGACAGAAUAAGCACCGGCUAACUUCGUGCCAGCAGCCGCGGUAAUACGAAGGGUGCAAGCGUUAAUCGGAAUUACUGGGCGUAAAGCGCGCGUAGGUGGUUUUGUAAGUUGGAGGUGAAAUCCCCGGGCUCAACCUGGGAACUGCCUCCAAAACUGCAUGACUAGAGUACGGUAGAGGGUAGUGGAAUUUCCUGUGUAGCGGUGAAAUGCGUAGAUAUAGGAAGGAACACCAGUGGCGAAGGCGACUACCUGGACUGAUACUGACACUGAGGUGCGAAAGCGUGGGGAGCAAACAGGAUUAGAUACCCCGGUAGUCC